This 536-nucleotide ribosomal RNA is filed under the name Helvella lacunosa. RNAcentral's name for it is "eukaryotic LSU rRNA". It matches the Rfam family "Eukaryotic large subunit ribosomal RNA", at positions 119 to 665 of the family's 3401-position model. The record is from RNAcentral. Lineage: Eukaryota; Fungi; Ascomycota; Pezizomycetes; Pezizales; Helvellaceae.
AAUCUGGGGCCCUCGGCCUCCGAGUUGUAAUUUGGAGAGGCAUCCUUCUGGGGGGAGCGCCGGCCCAUGUUCCUUGGAACAGGACGUCACAGAGGGUGAGAAUCCCGUGUCAGGCAGGCUGCCUCCUCCCGUGUGAAGGGCCUUCGACGAGUCGAGUUGUUUGGGAAUGCAGCUCCAAGUGGGUGGUAAAUUUCAUCUAAAGCUAAAUACCGGCGGGAGACCGAUAGCGCACAAGUAGAGUGAUCGAAAGAUGAAAAGCACUUUGAAAAUAGAGUCAAAAAGUACGUGAAAUUGUUGAAAGGGAAGCGCUUGAGACCAGACUCAGGCCCGGGCAAACACCGCGCCCCUUGGGGCCGUGCAAUUGCCCGGGGCUGGGCCAGCAUCAGUUGGUGUGGCGGGACAAAGGCGCAGGCAAUGUGGCUCCCCUCGAGGAGUGUUAUUAGGCCCGCGCUCAAUGCCGCCGACGUCGACUGAGGACCGCGCCUCGGCUAGGAUGCUGGCUCAAUGGCCUUCAGCGACCCGUCUUGAAACACGGA